CCUACGGGAGGCAGCAGUGGGGAAUUUUGGACAAUGGGCGCAAGCCUGAUCCAGCAAUGCCGCGUGAGUGAAGAAGGCCUUCGGGUUGUAAAGCUCUUUUGUCAGGGAAGAAACGGUGCGGGCUAAUAUCCUGUGCUAAUGACGGUACCUGAAGAAUAAGCACCGGCUAACUACGUGCCAGCAGCCGCGGUAAUACGUAGGGUGCAAGCGUUAAUCGGAAUUACUGGGCGUAAAGCGUGCGCAGGCGGUUUUGUAAGUUUGUCGUGAAAGCCCCGGGCUCAACCUGGGAAUUGCGAUGAAGACUGCAAGGCUUGAAUCUGGCAGAGGGGGGUAGAAUUCCACGUGUAGCAGUGAAAUGCGUAGAGAUGUGGAGGAACACCGAUGGCGAAGGCAGCCCCCUGGGUCAAGAUUGACGCUCAUGCACGAAAGCGUGGGGAGCAAACAGGAUUAGAUACCCUGGUAGUCCACGCCCUAAACGAUGUCUACUAGUUGUCGGGUUUUAAUUAACUUGGUAACGCAGCUACGCGUGAGUAGACCGCCGUCGGGAGGUACGGUCGGUCGAGAAGUUAAACGUUAAACGUAAAGUUAGUUAGACGNGAGAGAGCGACGACGACGACGACGGAGGAGGAG
This 630-nucleotide ribosomal RNA is filed under the name uncultured bacterium. RNAcentral's name for it is "bacterial SSU rRNA". The stretch from base 1 to 540 matches the Rfam family "Bacterial small subunit ribosomal RNA", at positions 338 to 873 of the family's 1533-position model. The record is from RNAcentral.